RNAcentral lists this long non-coding RNA (699 nucleotides) under Ficedula albicollis (Collared flycatcher). RNAcentral describes it as "lncRNA (ENSFALG00000028834.1)". Lineage: Eukaryota; Metazoa; Chordata; Aves; Passeriformes; Muscicapidae. The record is from RNAcentral.
UCUCAGACAGGGUCAGCACACUGCGUCACACUGCACAGAUUAACACCCACCACAAGAGAUUCCUUUUUGACAAUUUAACUUCAGCUAUGCAUUCAAAUACAACAGGCAGCAAUAAUCCAAGAAUACAGGUUAAAAGCCAGACAGCCAAUUGGUCUCAGGAUAUUAGAAGCAACUAGAAAAUUCAUUUCCCACUAUAAGUCUUUACUCUAGGGAGGUCUCAACAGGACUCCUGCUAUUCUGUGUCCUUCCAGUGCUGGGAGAAGGCCAAAAAAUGCCAUAGCAGAGACUGAGCCACACUAACCACUGGUGGGUUCAGUCCCUGGAAGAAGGCAGAGUGUCUACAUGAGGUGCUGUCUGAAGGGUGAUGGGGAAGCAGCUGCUGGCACUGAGGUGAAAGAGGGUUGCUGCUCACCAGAGGAACUGCCAUCAGUGCUGGGCUUGAGGGAAGACUUUGCCUUCCCCCAUCGACUCUGAGACGUCAACACCUGCACCAUUGUUAGAAGUACUUUCCAUUUCCAACAACAUUCAUAAUUCCUGAAUUUUACAAAACUUCACAAUCAACUGGUCCUUGUACUUGUGUGUUCUCCCCUAGUUACACAAGGGAGAUCCUCUAAAGGGCUCAUCCUGAAUCACCACUUGCAAAAGUUGUAUAUCAGCUGCUCCUUAAUCCAGACAGUGCCUUGGCUUUUAUUUUAUUUU